UUUGAGACAAUUGAACUUAAUGUUAUAUCUGGAAAAUAUAUUCCGUUCUGAUAUCUUUGACCAUAAUUUUGUUUGCGCCUCUUAUUAUUGCAUCUGGACUUACGUAUAGGGGAGGAAGACAAUAAUGUUGUGGACCAUACAUAGUCCAUGGUAAAAUGUUGGUGAAGGUAGGUAGUGGAAGAUGAUCCAUGACAGAGCUACUAAGCAUUUUCUAAUCAUCAGGAUGGUGUAACUUGAUUUUAAUUUCUCCCUUCAUCCCAUUUCUUUAAGUGCUAUGCUAGCUAUUCAGAUGGAUAAAAGGGGUUUUUAUGAUAUCUCCAUAUUUAUGCACUUAUCUCCUUAAUUCUUUGACAUUUUGUUUCUUGAGGAGAAUGGGGAAGGCAGCCAUUGGAAAGCCAACUGAGCAACAGGAACAGAAACAAUAAAGAUCAGCACAUACAGUGUAUUCUUCAGUGGAUGAAAGGAGUGAUACUUGCCCUACUUGUAAACAGGUAACAACAUGCCGCGAGGAAAACGAUUCAGAGA
Non-coding RNA from Phoenix dactylifera (date palm), 525 nucleotides. NCBI's taxonomy places the organism in Eukaryota, Viridiplantae, Streptophyta, Magnoliopsida, Arecales, Arecaceae. The record is from RefSeq and is a predicted model, not a curated record.